RNAcentral lists this ribosomal RNA (440 nucleotides) under uncultured bacterium. RNAcentral describes it as "partial 16S ribosomal RNA". It matches the Rfam family "Bacterial small subunit ribosomal RNA", at positions 339 to 795 of the family's 1533-position model. The record is from RNAcentral.
CUACGGGCGGCUGCAGUCGGGAAUAUUGCGCAAUGGAGGAAACUCUGACGCAGUGACGCCGCGUAUAGGAAGAAGGUUUUCGGAUUGUAAACUAUUGUCGUUAGGGAAGAUAAAAGACAGUACCUAAGGAGGAAGCUCCGGCUAACUACGUGCCAGCAGCCGCGGUAAUACGUAGGGAGCAAGCGUUAUCCGGAUUUAUUGGGUGUAAAGGGUGCGUAGACGGGAAGACAAGUUAGUUGUGAAAUCCCUCGGCUUAACUGAGGAACUGCAACUAAAACUAUUUUUCUUGAGUGUUGGAGAGGAAAGUGGAAUUCCUAGUGUAGCGGUGAAAUGCGUAGAUAUUAGGAGGAACACCGGUGGCGAAGGCGACUUUCUGGACAACAACUGACGUUGAGGCACGAAAGUGUGGGGAGCAAACAGGAUUAGAUACCCGUGUAGUC